AAAAGAACAGUUACUCGUAGAGAGGAUUGGAGUUAAAGACGUAGUCACAAGAGAACUUCGCUAUGUGUCGGGCCUGGCACAGAUAGAAGAGGAAACAACUGAGAGCCAAGUGGGGAAGCUCGCUGAAACUAUUCAGCAGCUCUAAGCACAAGUAGUAGAACUAGAAUUGCAAGCAGUGCCAAGCACUCUGUAAGAAGUGCGAGAUCAGAGGGAAGAAAUUGCCCGGAGUACAGUCAACAGAAUCAAGGCAUUGGCCCUAGAAUGCAAGUAACUUAACAAYAGGAAUGCGUAGACAUAUGAGCGCCUUGCAGAGGACCCAGAACUAAGGACAUUGGAGUCACAACUGCAGGAGGUGAAGCAACAAGCAACGACAAUGCAAGCAUAGUUGAAUCGAUUGUCAGUGGUCGAGAAGAUGAAAAGGUCACAAGAAUAGUGCACAGUUCAACAACAGGUCCAUGCUAUCGAGAGUAAAGUCAUGGAAGUGACCCAAAGACUCCAUCUAGUAUAGGAUGAAGCCUACACACUUUUUGAAGAAAUUGAGGGACAAAGUGCACAGCUGGAACAAGUGGUCACCACAGUGGAGGAGUGCUUGGAAGGACCUGUCAACGAGAAAAUCAUUCAGGAAUUCGUCGAGCAGGAGGCCCUGGCAAAGCAACAAGUCGAGGCAGCUCGAGCCAAGCUCGAGGCCUUUAAGCAUAGUUGCCCAGAUUAGAGUGACUCGGGAUGAGUCACAGGUGAGUGUUGGGGGCUUGUUGGCCCUCGACCAAGUUUUGAAGAACCUUGGUUGUGUUUGACCAUUUUUGGGACUUCGACAGGCUGGUCGAAGACGGAGCGUCAAGGCGAAGCAAAGAUCGUGGGAUCUCACCCCCUUUUUGCGGCCUUUUUGGGUUUAGGGUUUAUUUAACGAGCAUGGGAUGUCGGCCCAUGGGUUUACCCAUGUUUAGGCCCCUUUUGUAAUGUAUAAAUAGAUAGCUACGCGAUGUAAGUAAGGUGUUAUGCUAAGUGCAAGAGUACUAGACCUAGUAGGAUUGGCUUAGUGCAGAUCUAGAGGCUUUGUGCAUACUGUGUGUUGAGAACUUGCAGAGCUAAGUGCAAGUGAUUGUAAGAAGAUUCUGUGUUGUACCAAGCUCGAGGAAGGAGGAUCUGGCGAAGUAAGUGCAGAUAUUGUGUCCUAUGCGGAGUUGGCUUUGUGGCUCUGUGCAUGUAAGAAUAUUGACAAAAGAUAAUAAAGAAGACAAAGAGUUGGUGGACGUAGCCCCACGCUAGGGGUGAACCACGUAUAUCCUGUGUUGUGAUUACAUGUGUGAUUGAUGUGAUUUAUGCUUAGUGAUGUAAUCGUUCUAUAUGUUAGAUGCAUCUGAUGUAAUAGCUCAGUGCUUAAUGUCAUGGAUGAAUGCUAGAUAUGUUGAUGCUAUGUGUUGAAUGGUUAGAUAUGCUUAGAUCUGGUUGAAUACUACGUUGUUCUGUAAUUAGGGUUUGUACCUGCGAUGUGACAAAGGAUCAAAGACUAAUGAAUGAUAACUACUAAGUGCUUUGUUAAGUAUUGUGAUCACAGAUAUGUGUCCCAGCUAGGUUGCAGACACUUGAGUCCUGCGACCCCCCCUGCCUCUACCUAAGGUGAGACUUCCUCUUCUUCUCAGGUGUUACCGAAAUGGCCGAUAGUUAAGGUUUUGUUGGUGUGAUGUUGAAGCGUUGAACCCCAGAUUUUCCCCUACGGCAACAAGUCUACCUGAGCUGCUAUCGAAGCGAGGGCGAGAAAUCACGUGUCGAUUGGGCUACGGACGUAGAAUGUCCCCUCGCAGGGGCUUUUCCCUAGGCAGCGAAUAGUCGACUUAGAACAUGUACGGACAAGGGGAAUCCAACUGUUUAAUUAAAACAAAGCAUUGCGAUGGUCCCUACGAAUGCUGACGCAAUGUGAUUUCUUCCCAGUGCUCUGAAUGUCAAAGUGAAGAAAUUCAACCAAGUGUUGGUAAAUGAUGAGAGUAACUAUGACUCUAUUAAGGUAGCCAAAUGCCUCAUCAUCUAAUUAGUGACGCGCAUGAAUGGAUUAACGAGAUUCCACUGUCCCUAUCUACUAUCUAGCGAAACCACAGCCAAGGGAACGAGCUUGGCAAAAUCAGCGGGAAGAGAAGACCCCAUUGAGCUUGACUCUACUCUGACUUUGUGAAAUGACUUGAGAGGUGUAGAAUAAGUGGGAGCCGUUUUCGGCGCAAGUGAAAUACCACUACUUUUGACGUUAUUUUAGUUAUUCCGUGGAGCGGAGACGGGGCAUCGCCCCUAUUUGUGGCCUUAUGACACGUUUCGAUGGGCUGAUCCGGGCGGAAGACAUUGUCAGGUGGGGAGUUUGGCUGGGGCGACACAUCUGUUAAAAGAUAACACAGGUGUCCUAAGAUGAGCUCAAUGAGAACAAAUAUCUCGUGUGGAACAAAAGGGUAAAAGCUUAUUUGAUUUUGAUUUUCAGUACGAAUACAAACCGUGAAAGCGUGGCUAUUGAUCCUUUAUACUUUCAUAAUUUGAAGCUAGAGGUGUCAGAAAAGUUACCACACAGAUAACUAGCUUGUGGAAGCCAAGUGUUCAUAGCGACGUUGCUUUUUGAUCCUUCGAUGUCGGCUCUUCCUAUCAUUGUGAAACAGAAUUCACCAAGUGUUGGGUUGUUCACCCACCAAUAGGGAACGUGAGUUGGGUUUAGACCAUUGUGAGACAGGUUAUUUUUACCCUACUGAUGAACUGCGUCGCAAUAAUAAUUCAACUUAGUACGAGAGGAACCGUUGAUUCACUCAAUUGGUCAUCACGCUUGGUUGAAAAUCCAGUGGCGCAAAGCUACCGUGUGUCAGAUUAUGAUUGAACGCCUCUAAGUCAGAAUCCACACUAGAAGUGGUGCUUGUCACUCCUCGACUGUAUCUCGACCCACAGUAGGGUCGUCGCUUCGGAACCCCCAGGGGCCCAUGUCACUUGCGAACCUUGGUCGGGAAGCGUUUCAGUCGGGGCAACUUUGAAGUUCAAUUUCAAACGGUCGUUGAGGAGAAUCCUUUACAAACGACUUAAAUACGCGACG
Molecule: ribosomal RNA, 3055 nt
Filed under: Picea glauca (white spruce)
Lineage: Eukaryota; Viridiplantae; Streptophyta; Pinopsida; Pinales; Pinaceae
Description: eukaryotic LSU rRNA
Source: RNAcentral